UAAUUGAAGAGUUUGAUCAUGGCUCAGAUUGAACGCUGGCGGCAGGCCUAACACAUGCAAGUCGAGCGGUAACAGAGAGUAGCUUGCUACUUUGCUGACGAGCGGCGGA
Molecule: ribosomal RNA, 109 nt
Filed under: Pseudoalteromonas haloplanktis
Lineage: Bacteria; Pseudomonadati; Pseudomonadota; Gammaproteobacteria; Alteromonadales; Pseudoalteromonadaceae
Description: partial 16S ribosomal RNA
Rfam family: Bacterial small subunit ribosomal RNA
Source: RNAcentral